AGAGUUUGAUCCUGGCUCAGAACGUACGCUGGCGGCACGCCUAACACAUGCAAGUCGAACGAAGUAGCAAUACUUAGUGGCAGACGGGUGAGUAACAUGUAGGUAUCUGCCCUUUGGCCUGGAAUAACACGAGGAAGCUUGUGCUAAUACCGGAUAAGUCUUUACGGAGAAAGCUUUAUGCACCAUUGGAUGAGCCUGCACUUGAUUAGUUUGUUGGUGGGGUAAUGGCCUACCAAGACUGUGAUCAAUAGCUGAUUUGAGAGGAUGAUCAGCCACAUUGGGACUGAGACACGGCCCAAACUCCUACGGGAGGCAGCAGUGGGGAAUCUUGCACAAUGGAGGAAACUCUGAUGCAGCGAUGCCGCGUGAGUGAAGAAGGCCUUUGGGUUGUAAAGCUCUUUCGUCGGGGAAGAAAAUGACUGUACCCGAAUAAGAAGGUCCGGCUAACUUCGUGCCAGCAGCCGCGGUAAUACGAAGGGACCUAGCGUAGUUCGGAAUUACUGGGCUUAAAGAGUUCGUAGGUGGUUGAAAAAGUUGGUGGUGAAAUCCCAGAGCUUAACUCUGGAACUGCCAUCAAAACUUUUCAGCUAGAGUGUGAUAGAGGAAAGCAGAAUUUCUAGUGUAGAGGUGAAAUUCGUAGAUAUUAGAAAGAAUACCAAAUGCGAAGGCAGCUUUCUGGAUCAUUACUGACACUGAGGAACGAAAGCAUGGGUAGCGAAGAGGAUUAGAUACCCUCGUAGUCCAUGCCGUAAACGAUGUGUGUUAGACGUUGGAAAUUUAUUUUCAGUGUCGCAGCGAAAGCAAUAAACACACCGCCUGGGGAGUACGACCGCAAGGUUAAAACUCAAAUGAAUUGACGGGGACCCGCACAAGUAGUGGAGCAUGUGGUUUAAUUCGAAGAUACGCGCAGAACCUUACCAACACUUGACAUGUUCGUCGCGACUUUAAGAGAUUAAAGUUUUCGGUUCGGCCGGACGAAACACAGGUGCUGCAUGGCUGUCGUCAGCUCGUGUCGUGAGAUGUUGGGUUAAGUCCCGCAACGAGCGCAACCCUCACUUUUAGUUGCCAUCAUUUAGUUGGGCACUCUGAAAGAACUGCCAGUGAUAAGCUGGAGGAAGGUGGGGAUGACGUCAAGUCCUCAUGGCCCUUACGUGUUGGGCUACACACGUGCUACAAUGGUAUCUACAACAGGAAGCAAAACUGCGAAGUUAAGCAAAUCCUUAAAAGAUACCUCAGUUCGGAUUGCACUCUGCAACUCGAGUGCAUGAAGCUGGAAUUACUAGUAAUCGUGGAUCAGCGUGCCACGGUGAAUGCGUUCCCGGGUCUUGUACACACCGCCCGUCACACCAUGGGAGUUGGUUCUACCUUAAGGCAAGGUUUCAAACCCUUGACCACGGUAUAGUCAGCGACUGGGGUGAAGUCGUAACAAGGUAACC
This 1436-nucleotide ribosomal RNA is filed under the name uncultured bacterium. Its description in RNAcentral is "bacterial SSU rRNA". It matches the Rfam family "Bacterial small subunit ribosomal RNA". The record is from RNAcentral.